Molecule: transfer RNA, 82 nt
Filed under: Echinostoma caproni
Lineage: Eukaryota; Metazoa; Platyhelminthes; Trematoda; Plagiorchiida; Echinostomatidae
Rfam family: tRNA
About the family: Transfer RNA (tRNA) molecules are approximately 80 nucleotides in length. Their secondary structure includes four short double-helical elements and three loops (D, anti-codon, and T loops). Further hydrogen bonds mediate the characteristic L-shaped molecular structure. tRNAs have two regions of fundamental functional importance: the anti-codon, which is responsible for specific mRNA codon recognition, and the 3' end, to which the tRNAs corresponding amino acid is attached (by aminoacyl-tRNA synthetases). tRNAs cope with the degeneracy of the genetic code in two manners: having more than one tRNA (with a specific anti-codon) for a particular amino acid; and 'wobble' base-pairing, i.e. permitting non-standard base-pairing at the 3rd anti-codon position.
Source: Rfam by way of RNAcentral
GGCCUCGUAGCUCAGCUGGUAGAGCAUGCGCGUACAAAGCGAAGCCAGCGUCCAUGCGUGGGUUCGAAUCCCACCGAGGUUA